Molecule: long non-coding RNA, 4902 nt
Filed under: Capra hircus (goat)
Lineage: Eukaryota; Metazoa; Chordata; Mammalia; Artiodactyla; Bovidae
Description: lncRNA (ENSCHIG00000007993.1)
Source: RNAcentral
CUUGUUCAAAGUCAGGGCUUCCAUGUAAAACUGUGUUCAGUUCCUGACAGACUUGAGCUGUCCGGAAUGUUGCUGACGAGACGUGGUCCUCUCGUGCCCAGGUGCAGCCCCUGAAAGAUCAGGACCAGGAGCGUGGGCAGCAAGCCAGCGUGCUGGCCAACGUGGCCCAGGUGUUGGAGUGUGAGGAGGGCGUGUCUGACAGCGAGGGCGACGGGGUUACCCUCUUCAGCGCGCCCACUCUGCUGUCGCCCAGCGGGCAGGCCGAUGCCAAGACUCUGGCCAUGAGGAUUCAGGAGCAGCUGGACAAAAUCAACGAACAGAUCCGGUUUAUCCAAGAAAAGAGGGAGAACACGGAUCAGCGGGCCGAGGGGAUUGAGAGCAGGGUGGGCAGGGGGAGCUCCAGCCACCUUCGUCGUUCUCAAUCCUGGAACUCCCUCAACCUGAAUCCCGCCUCCUCGCAUGUUGGCUCCUGUACGCCCAGCAGAGGGCGCUCCAAGCCCCGAAGGAGGCGGCACAGCCCUGCGCAGGAACUGCCAGCUGUACAGGAAGAGGUAGAAGAUGAGAAGAGCACCAUCAAAGGUGAAACCUCGACCUCCGCCUUGCUGCGGUCUCUUCGGCUGGACCGGCUCAUGGCAUCACUGCGCACAGCCAGCGACAAGGACAUCAGGGACGCCCGCAACUCGACAGCCUCUCAGGAUGGCCCCGGGGGCAAGCUCAGCAACAGCAGUAGCGGCCAGGACUCGCUGCAGAAAGCCCCAAAGAAGAAGGGCAUCAAGUCCUCCAUCGGUCGUUUGCUUGGCAAAAAGGAAAAGGGCCGGCCUGGACACAGCGGCAAGGAGGCCUUAGGACCAGUGGCAGGCAGGAUCUUUACCGCUAGCGCCACCUGGAGAGCCCCAGGGAACGCUGACAACUAGGAAAUGCAGAAAAUAAGGGCUGCUCCUAAGUUAAACCGGAAGAGCAGCAAGCACAGGUUGAAAAGAGGAAAACACAGGAUGAGCGACAACAGGGCCAACAGAAACAAGCCAGGAUGUGUUCCCCCACAAAGAGAAUAUCUGUGCCAUUCGGAAGAGGAGCCCGUCAGCCCUCGGAGGGACAGAUGGAACCGGAAUGAAACCGAGGCCGUGGUCAGCAGUGCCCACCCACACGGCCCGAGUGGCGGGGUGUCACUCACUAGCUUCCUGCGUCCCCAGAGCUGCUGGGGGUGACGUCUGAGUGCUGAGGCCGGGCAACGUCCCCGAGUGAGCUAAGGCAUCCCUGCUCUCCUUCCAGUGCGGCUGCGGGGCCCUCUGUGGGCGGCCACCCUCAUCCCCUGAUCUGCCACCUGCUGGGGCCCAGCUGUUCCCCUGGGAUCCUUUCAGCCCUUGAGCUUGGGUGUUCCCAGCCCUCUGCCACGCCAGACUGGGACGCAACUCCAGACUUGGGCUUGAGAUAUCAAGGAGACCGUGAAUCUGGGAGGACACAGCUCUGGGGUCCUGACUGACCAUGUGAGAAGAGCAGGAGAGCAAAGCCCCAUCGGGGAGGAAGCAGAGCUGGGGAACGUGCCCACACCCACCGCUGCCUCUGGCACAAAAGCCUAUUCUUUGCUUCUUCUUGACCUGAAAUAGACCCCAGCUGCUGGUGAUCUGCAGGUGAUUGCUAAAGAUGCACAUCCUGCAAGAGCUAUUGUCCUGCUGCUCUGAGGCUGCCUAAGUGUGCUCAGGAGUGUCAGACAAGAGGGGCUGCCACGCCUGAUGCUGGGGGAGGGCCUGAUGCUGGGCUAGGGCCUGAUGGUGAACUAGGGUCUGAUGGGGUGGAAGGUCUGGUUCUGGACUAAGGCCCUUUGCUGGGGGAGGGUCUGAUGCUGGAGGACGGCCUGAUGCUCGGGGAGGGCCGUGAUGCUGGGGCGGGAAUGUCUGAUGUUGGACGAGGGUCUGAUGCUAGACGAGGGCCUAAUGCUGGAGGAGAGCCUGAUGCUGGAGGAGGGCCUGAUGGCGAACUAGGUCUGAUGGUUGGGGAAGGUCUUGUUCUGGACUAAGGCCCUUUGCUGGGGGAGAGUCUGAUGCUGGAGGUGGGCCUGAUGCUGGACUAGGGCCUGAUGCUGGAGGAGGGCCUGAUGCUGGGGGAGGGCCCUGAUGCUGGGGCAGGAAUUUCUGAUGCUGCACGAGGACCUGAUGCCGGACGAGUGCCUGAUGCUGGAUAAGGGCCUGAUGCUGGGAGAGGGUCUGAUGCUGGACUAGGGCCUGAUGCUGGUGGAAGGUCUGAUGCUGGACUAGGGCCUGAUGCUGGGGGAGGGCCUGAUGCUGGACUAGGGCCUGAUGCUGGAUGAGGGCCUAAUGCUGGACUAAGGCCUGAUGCUGAGGGAGGGCCUGAUGCUGGACUAAGGCCUGAUGCUGAGGGAGGGCCUGAUGCUGGAGGAGGGCCCUGAUCCUGGGGCAGGAAUGUAUGAUGCUGGGAGAGGCCUGAUGCUGGAGGAGGCCCUGAUGCUGUACUAGAGCCUGAUGCUGGGGGAGGGUGUGAUGCUGGGGGAGGGCCUGAUGCUGAACGAAGGCCUAAUGCUGGAGGAGGGCCUGAUGCUAGGGGAGGGCCUGAUGUUGGGGGAGGGCCUGAUGCUGGAUAAGGGCCUGAUGCUGGUGGAAGGUCUGAUGCUGGACUAGGGCCUGAUCUGGGGGAGGGUGUGAUGCUGGGGGAGGGCCUGAUGCUGGAUGAGGGCCUAAUGCUGGAGGAGGGCCUGAUGCUGGGGGAGGGCCUGAUGCUGCAGGAGGGCCCUGAUGCUGGGGUGUGAAUGUCUGAUGCUGGACUAGGGCCUGAUGCUGGAGGAGAGCCUGAUGCUGGAAGAGGGCCUGAUGCUGGACUAAGGCCUGAUGCUGGGGGAGGGUCUGAUGCUGGAGGAGGGCCCUCAUCCUGGGGCAGGAAUGUAUGAUGCUGGGAGAGGCCUGAUGCUGGAGGAGGGCCUGAUGCUGGAGGAGGGCCCUGAUCCUGGGGCAGGAAUGUAUGAUGCUGGGCUAGGGCUUGAUGCUGGAGGAGGGCCUGAUGCUAGACUGGGGCCUGAUGCUGGGAGAGGCUUUGAUGCUGGGGGAGGGCCUGAUGCUGGACUAAGGCCUGAUGCUGGGGAGGAUGUGAUGCUGGAGGAGGUCCUGAUGCUGGGGGAGGGUCUGAUGCUGGAGGAUGGCCGAUGCUAGGGGAGGGCCUGAUGCUGCGGGAGGGCCCUGAUGCUGGGGUGGGAACAUCUGAUGCUGGACUAGGGUCUGAUGCUGGGGGAGGUCCUGAUGCUCGACUAGGGCCUGAUGCUGGGGGUUAAACGUCUGAUGCUGGCGGGGAGGUCUGAUGAUGGUGGGCAGCCUGCUCCCAGAUGUACACAGAGUUGUGAUUAUAAAUAUGAGGAAUCUUUUUUUCAUACUUUCCUGACCACCUUGCUAUGUUCCUUUUUUCUGAAGUAUAAUUGCUGUGCAAUAUCGGUUUGAUUUCCGCCAUACAUCAGCAUGGAUUAGCCAUAGGUGUACGCGUGUCCCCUCCCUCUUGAAUCUCCCUCCCGCCUCCCCCUGCUACAUUCUUGUUUCUAUGGAUAUAUGAAUAAUAAAGACUGUUGACUAAAGUAAUAUAAAAAGCUCCCACACACAAGCGUGCACACGCACACUCCGUAGUACAUCAUUGGGGUCCGCGUCAGGGUUGCCCUGGGCCACCCCGCCCUGGGAUCCACGGUGAGCCUCGACACCUGCACUUAGUGCCCACCCUCGGCCCGCUGCCCACGCCUCAGCAGCAGAGGGGCCCUGUCCUCUCCGGAGCCAAGGACAUGAAUACCAGGUCGGUCGUCCUUUGGGGACCCCUAUACUUCCGCCUUCUAGCCUUUGCAUUGUAUCCAUCCGUUUCUCUUAACAGAAUGUCCGUGUGAUGACACGGGCUCCCAUUACCAGCUCUGGUCUGUUCUCAUUGAGAGUACAGCUUACCCUCUGCACUCUUUAUUGGCAGUGGAAAUUUGGCUUCAGUACUUUUUUGAAAGAAAGAAGUAAAUAAUACUGUGAUAAAAACAGUUCAAAAGUAGACUGUACAUACUUUGUCACAUAUUCGGGAAGUUCACAACAGAUUAAUAGAAACACAGAAUGGUAACAAUGAAUUGUACAAGGAAAUUAAAGGCAGAACGCACAUGUAAAGAGACAUGCCGUCUCUGUCUACCAAGAUAUCAGCUGCAUAAUAAGGCACCAUGAUUUGAACGCAUCUCUUGCUGGCUUUUUUAAUGUGCUACUGAAAAAGUAAAAGUUACAUUUGCUACUUAUACUAUCCAAAAUGGCUAUGUCAUCAAAAUCUAAAAAUGUAUGCCUAGGUCCAUUCUUUAAACACGUUUACAAACAGAUGUAAAAAGAUGAUUUACAUCAGAAAAAUAAGGCCUUUGUCAGAGCUGCACUAUUCUGUCUGUCUGUCUGUCUCUCCCGGGUGUGGCGCCCUCACUGUCCAACUCAAUGGCUCCGCAGCGGGUGCAGGGCAUCAGGAUUGGUCCUCGAAGAGUCUCACCGGAGAGGAGGGAUCUGGGUCCAGAGACUAGGUUACAGAAGAGAUUUUCAUAGUCGUCUUCUAGUUAUCCUUUCAGCCCAAAUUUCAUCAGAAGCUCACAUUUAACACCCAGUGCUUUUAAAUCACUUCAUGCUUUAGACAAAAAGCAUUUCCUCCUAGAAAAAAAGUACAGUUUAGGUCAUCGUUAAAUUACAACAAUUGGUUGAAAUUAGUUCGCUCAUUUCAGAGUGACUGUUGGAGAGCUUGAUUACAUUCUGGAAGGAUAAUGCACACCGUGUCAUGAUGAUUUUACAAUCGCAGUAAAACCCCUUCUCUUAUGGUUUAACAUUUAAAAAUUACACAAGAAUAAUUACAAUCAAUGCAUCAUUUGCAAAAGCCCUUUAUUUGUUCAUAGGAUUUAUACAGACAAGUAUUACA